UACGUAGGGUGCGAGCGUUGUCCGGAAUUAUUGGGCGUAAAGAGCUCGUAGGCGGUUUGUCACGUCUGCUGUGAAAUCCCGAGGCUCAACCUCGGGCCUGCAGUGGGUACGGGCAGACUAGAGUGCGGUAGGGGUGACUGGAAUUCCUGGUGUAGCGGUGGAAUGCGCAGAUAUCAGGAGGAACACCGAUGGCGAAGGCAGGUCACUGGGCCGCAACUGACGCUGAGGAGCGAAAGCAUGGGGAGCGAACAGG
RNAcentral lists this ribosomal RNA (253 nucleotides) under uncultured bacterium. Its description in RNAcentral is "partial 16S ribosomal RNA". It matches the Rfam family "Bacterial small subunit ribosomal RNA", at positions 524 to 776 of the family's 1533-position model. The record is from RNAcentral.